CCGCGUGAGUGAUGAAGGUUUUCGGAUCGUAAAACUCUGUUGUCAGGGAAGAACAAGUAUCGGAGUAACUGCCGGUACCUUGACGGUACCUGACCAGAAAGCCACGGCUAACUACGUGCCAGCAGCCGCGGUAAUACGUAGGUGGCAAGCGUUGUCCGGAAUUAUUGGGCGUAAAGCGCGCGCAGGCGGUCUUUUAAGUCUGAUGUGAAAGCCCCCGGCUCAACCGGGGAGGGUCAUUGGAAACUGGGAGACUUGAGUGCAGAAGAGAAGAGUGGAAUUCCACGUGUAGCGGUGAAAUGCGUAGAGAUGUGGAGGAACACCAGUGGCGAAGGCGACUCUUUGGUCUGUAACUGACGCUGAGGCGCGAAAGCGUGGGGAGCGAACAGGAUUAGAUACCCUGGUAGUCCACGCCGUAAACGAUGAGUGCUAAGUGUUAGAGGGUUUCCGCCCUUUAGUGCUGCAGCAAACGCAUUAAGCACUCCGCCUGGGGAGUACGGUCGCAAGACUGAAACUCANAGGAAUUGACGGGGGCCCGCACAAGCGGUGGAGCAUGUGGUUUAAUUCGAAGCAACGCGAAGAACCUUACCAGGUCUUGACAUCCUUAUGACUUCCCUAGAGAUAGGGCUUCCCCUUCGGGGGCAUAAGUGACAGGUGGUGCAUGGUUGUCGUCAGCUCGUGU
RNAcentral lists this ribosomal RNA (679 nucleotides) under uncultured bacterium. RNAcentral describes it as "bacterial SSU rRNA". It matches the Rfam family "Bacterial small subunit ribosomal RNA", at positions 397 to 1065 of the family's 1533-position model. The record is from RNAcentral.